AAGCAAAUUGCCGAUGGCAAAGAAGUAGAUGUCUCAAGCAAGAAGCCAGGAAGAGCUGGCCAAAAGAGAAAGGAGCUGGAUCUAGCGAGGACCUCAAUAAUCCCACUGAAUAAAAGAAGGACAAUUCGAUCACUGGCACGGUCUCUAGGUGUGGCCCGAUCGACCCUACAUAAGAGGUUCCAGUUGAAUGAGCUCAACCGCAUCACAAGCACCGUGAAGCCUCACCUCAAGCCAGAGAACAAGCUUGCGAGAUUGAAAUUUUGUAUGUCCAUGCUCGAUGACAAUUCGGUCUCAACUUCUCAGGCUAUGUUUAAGCCAAUGACCAAUAUGGUUCACAUAGAUGAAAAGUGGUUUGACAUGACGAGAGUGAAGAAUAGUUACUAUGUACUUCCAGGAGAACCUGAACCCAAGCGCACCAUUCCAAACACUCGCAGCAUUGGGAAGGUAAUGUUCCUAACAGAUGUGGCCAGGCCUCGAUAUAACAAUGAGGGGGAGCUAACAUUCGAUGGGAAGAUCGGCAUUUGGGCAUUCAUCAAAGAGACUGAGGCGGUGCGGACAAGUCAGAACAGAGCAAAGGGAACAAAAGUGUUGAAAUCAGUGAAAGUAACCAGGCCUGUGUGCAGAGAUUAUCUAAUCAAUAAGGUUAUCCCAGCAAUUUAG
This 660-nucleotide ribosomal RNA is filed under the name Triticum aestivum (bread wheat). RNAcentral's name for it is "partial small subunit ribosomal RNA". Lineage: Eukaryota; Viridiplantae; Streptophyta; Magnoliopsida; Poales; Poaceae. The record is from RNAcentral.